This 242-nucleotide ribosomal RNA is filed under the name uncultured bacterium. RNAcentral's name for it is "partial 16S ribosomal RNA". It matches the Rfam family "Bacterial small subunit ribosomal RNA", at positions 57 to 305 of the family's 1533-position model. The record is from RNAcentral.
GCAAGUCGAGCGCGAAAGGUCUUCGGACCGAGUAAAGCGGCGGACGGGUGAGUAACGCGUGGGAAUCUGCCUAGUAGUGGGGGAUAACUAGUGGAAACGCUAGGUAAUACCGCAUACGCCCUACGGGGGAAAGCGGGGGAUCUUCGGACCUCGCGCUAUUAGAUGAGCCCGCGUCGGAUUAGCUAGUUGUAGGGUAAAGGCCUACCAAGGCGACGAUCCGUAGCUGGUCUGAGAGGAUGACC